UGGGCGAGCUUUAUUGUCUGCGUGCUCCAGUUAUGGCACGCAUUGGGAAGGGGGCUGAGCGGUGUUGGACGCUCCCCCUUAAUUCCCGGGACGCUGGACCGGUGCCCCGAAAUUUAUAAUGACACCACGAAGAACAGCAGCAUUUCUGUGCCAGUGUACCACGUUGUAUCGGCCUCCAGUGACGACACGUUUCCAUUGUACCGGAUAUCUUACUUUUGGAUAUCACUCAUCGGAGUCGUUCUCACGGUCCUCCUGGGUACAUUGCUCAGCCUUGCAACAGGUGGCGUGCAGAAAGCGAGAAGGAAUUUAAACCUGACAAGCCCGGUAUUUUUAGGGCUCUGGUGUCAUGUCAAAUCGCUUCGUCGAGUGUUUCAACUCGAACAAUCGAUACAAGGAAACCCGACAACGCCAAACACAAACUGCGAAGACGAAGACACAAUUCAUGGACUUCAACUUCCACACUGGCACGAACAACAUGGACUCCUCAAACACAACGGUGAUGUCAUUCGUGAUUGCGCCACAUAACCAAGUGCGGCUUGUACGCAGGUUAAUUUGCGUAUAUGCUCUCUACAAAUUGAUAUCUGAAACUUUCUGGCUCUACAGGAGAGCCUCUUGUGA
This is a long non-coding RNA of Rhipicephalus sanguineus (brown dog tick), 618 nucleotides long. RefSeq lists it as uncharacterized. The transcript is spliced from 4 exons. The record is from RefSeq and is a predicted model, not a curated record. NCBI's taxonomy places the organism in Eukaryota, Metazoa, Arthropoda, Arachnida, Ixodida, Ixodidae.